GUAGGUGGCAAGCGUUGUCCGGAAUUAUUGGGCGUAAAGCGCGCGCAGGCGGUUCUUUAAGUCUGAUGUGAAAGCCCACGGGCUCAACCGUGGAGGGUCAUUGGAAACUGGAGAACUUGAGUACAGAAGAGGAAAGCGGAAUUCCACGUGUAGCGGUGAAAUGCGUAGAGAUGUGGAGGAACACCAGUGGCGAAGGCGGCCUUCUGGUCUGUAACUGACGCUGAGGCGCGAAAGCGUGGGGAGCAAACAGGAUUAGAUACCCUGGUAGUCCACGCCGUAAACGAUGAGUGCUAAGUGUUAGGGGGUUUCCGCCCCUUAGUGCUGCAGCUAACGCAUUAAGCACUCCGCCUGGGGAGUACGGCCGCAAGGCUG
Molecule: ribosomal RNA, 372 nt
Filed under: uncultured organism
Description: partial 16S ribosomal RNA
Rfam family: Bacterial small subunit ribosomal RNA
Source: RNAcentral